RNAcentral lists this ribosomal RNA (492 nucleotides) under uncultured bacterium. RNAcentral describes it as "partial 16S ribosomal RNA". It matches the Rfam family "Bacterial small subunit ribosomal RNA", at positions 29 to 507 of the family's 1533-position model. The record is from RNAcentral.
AGUGAACGCUGGCGGUAGGCCUAACACAUGCAAGUCGAACGGCAGCACAGUAAGAGCUUGCUCUUACGGGUGGCGAGUGGCGGACGGGUGAGGAAUACAUCGGAAUCUACUUUUUCGUGGGGGAUAACGUAGGGACACUUACGCUAAUACCGCAUACGACCUACGGGUGAAAGCAGGGGAUCUUCGGACCUUGCGUGAUUGAAUGAGCCGAUGUCGGAUUAGCUAGUUGGCGGGGUAAAGGCCCACCAAGGCGACGAUCCGUAGCUGGUCUGAGAGGAUGAUCAGCCACACUGGAACUGAGACACGGUCCAGACUCCUACGGGAGGCAGCAGUGGGGAAUAUUGGACAAUGGGCGCAAGCCUGAUCCAGCCAUACCGCGUGGGUGAAGAAGGCCUUCGGGUUGUAAAGCCCUUUUGUUGGGAAAGAAAAGCAGCAGGUUAAUACCCCGCUGUUCUGACGUUACCCAAAGAAUAAGCACCGGCUAACUUCGUG